This 551-nucleotide ribosomal RNA is filed under the name uncultured Glomeromycotina. Its description in RNAcentral is "SSU rRNA". It matches the Rfam family "Eukaryotic small subunit ribosomal RNA", at positions 548 to 1098 of the family's 1831-position model. Lineage: Eukaryota; Fungi; Glomeromycota. The record is from RNAcentral.
UUGGAGGGCAAGUCUGGUGCCAGCAGCCGCGGUAAUUCCAGCUCCAAUAGCGUAUAUUAAAGUUGUUGCAGUUAAAAAGCUCGUAGUUGAAUUUCGGAAUCCAUCCGUCGGUCGGGCCUCACGGUCCGCACUGGUGUGAUGGAUUUCUACCUUCUGAAUAACCAGCAUGUCAUUAAUUUGGUGCGUUGGGGAAGCAGGACUGUUACCUUGAAAAAAUUAGAGUGCUUAAAGCAGGCUAGUGCCUGAGUACAUUAGCAUGGAAUAAUGAAAUAGGACGGCAUGGUUCUAUUUUGUUGGUUUCUAGGAUCACCGUAAUGAUUAAUAGGGAUAGUUGGGGGCAUUAGUAUUCAAUUGUCAGAGGUGAAAUUCUUGGAUUUAUUGAAGACUAACUUCUGCGAAAGCAUUUGCCAAGGAUGUUUUCAUUAAUCAAGAACGAAAGUUAGGGGAUCGAAGACGAUCAGAUACCGUCGUAGUCUUAACCAUAAACUAUGCCGACUAGGGAUCGGACGAUGUUAAUUUUUUAAUGACUCGUUCGGCGCCUUACGGGAAAC